Molecule: non-coding RNA, 855 nt
Filed under: Metapenaeopsis barbata
Lineage: Eukaryota; Metazoa; Arthropoda; Malacostraca; Decapoda; Penaeidae
Description: 12S ribosomal RNA
Rfam family: Microsporidia small subunit ribosomal RNA (bases 431-848)
Source: RNAcentral
UAAAAGUUUUAUCCUGGCUUAUCCUUUCGAUUUUAGGUUAAUAGUACAUGCAAGAUUAAGACACGUCAAAGUAUUUAUAAAAUUAAAUAUUUAUAAAGUAAUUAUAUAGAGGAGUUGAUAAUAAUUAAAAUCGCAGUAUUUGGUGCUAAUAUAUAAAUAAAAGUUGGAAUUGGUGAUCCUAAUAUAUGCCUGGUUAAAAUUUGUGCCAGCAGCCGCGGUUAUACUGAGGGGCAGAUUGAAAGAAGAUUGGUUAAAAAUAAUUAAAUGGAAUCGUUUAACUUGGUUUAUAAAUUUGUAUUAAUAAAGGGUGAAAUCAAUUUUUUAAUGUGCAAGUGAAUAAUCCUGGUUAAAAUGAGGUUGAAGUUAUUAAGAUAAAGGUAUGAACCAGGAUUAGAUACCCUGUUACACUUUAUUUAAAGUCAAAAUACCUGGGUAUUAAACAGUUAUUGGCUUGAAACUCAAAGGAUUUGGCGGUAGCUUAGUCUAUUUAGAGGAACCUGUUCUGUAAUCGAUAAUCCACGAAAAAUCUCACUUUACCUUGUAUAAAUUCAGCUUGUAUACCGUCAUUAUUAGAUAACUUUAAUAAAAGUUCUAGUUAUUAAAAUAAAAUUCAUUUAAUAUAUUAGAUCAAGGUGCAGCUUAUGGUAAAGUAGAAAUGGGUUACAAUAAUAUAAGUGUUUAAAACGAAUUAAAAAGGGAAUUCUUUUUAUAAAGGUGGAUUUAAUAGUAAGAAAGUUUUAAUAAGGCUUUUUGAUUGUAGCUCUAAGCUAUGUACACAUCGCCCGUCGCUCUCGUUAAUUAAAGCGAGAUAAGUCGUAACAUAGUAGGUGUACUGGAAAGUGUACCUAGAAAUUC